GAGAAAGUUACUAAGGGCGUAUGGCGGAUGCCUAGGCUCUCAGAGGCGAUGAAGGACGUGAUAAGCUGCGAUAAGCUUCGGGAAGGUGCACAUAACCUUUGAUCCGAAGAUUUCCGAAUGGGGCAACCCAGCAUGUUGAAGACAUGUUACCCGAAAGGGGGCAAACCCGGUGAACUGAAACAUCUAAGUAACCGGAGGAAGAGAAAACAAUUAGUGAUUUCCCUAGUAGUGGCGAGCGAACGGGAAAUAGCCCAAACCGUACAGUUUUCGGACUGUGCGGGGUUGUAGGACUACGAUAUGGACUAUAUAAUUGAAUUAGAAUUACCUGGAAAGGUAAGCCGUAGACGGUGAUAGCCCGGUAUAAGUAAGAUUAUAUUACCUAGUAUAGUAUCCUGAGUAUGGCGGAGCAGGUGAAACUCCGUCUGAAUCUGCCGGCACCAUCCGGUAAGGCUAAAUACUCCUGAGAGACCGAUAGUGGACAAGUACCGUGAGGGAAAGGUGAAAAGUACCCUGAAUAAGGGGGUGAAAUAGAACCUGAAACCGUGCGCUUACAAGCGGUCGGAGGCGCUUAGUGCGUUGACGGCGUGCCUUUUGCAUAAUGAGCCUACGAGUUACACUCCACUCGCGAGGUUAAGUUAUGAAGUGACGUAUCCGAAAACGAAGCGCGAGUCUAGAACGGGGCGAAUUAGUUAUUGGAGUUAGACGCGAAACCCGGUGAUCUACCCAUGACCAGGUUGAAGUUGCGGUAACACGCAAUGGAGGACCGAACCAGUUGACGUUGAAAAGUCUUUGGAUGAGUUGUGGGUAGGGGUGAAAGGCCAAUCAAACCGGGAAAUAGCUCGUACUCCCCGAAAUGCUUUUAGGAGCAGCGUGGAGGUUAAGUCUUACGGAGGUAGAGCUACCAAUAGGACUAGGGGGAGUCACAUCCUACCAAAUCCUGAUGAACUCCGAAUGCCGUAAGAUAUACUCUGCAGUGAGGGCUAGGGUGCUAAGGUCCUAGUCCGAGAGGGAAAGAACCCAGACCUACAGCUAAGGUCCCAAAGUAUAUGCUAAGUUGAACUAAGGCGGUCCAGUUGCCGAGACAGCCAGGAUGUUGGCUUGGAAGCAGCCAUUCAUUUAAAGAGUGCGUAACAGCUCACUGUCUUGUCGAAUGAGCGUGUUGCGCAUGGAUAAUAAUCGGGCAUUAAGCAUAUCACCAAGGCUUCAGAUUCUACUACGUAGAGUAGGUGGGGAUUCUAGCUGCGUUGAAGGUGAAUGCUGUGGAGGUUUAAGCUGGAGCGUCUAGAAAAGAAAAUGUAUGAGUAUAGGCAACGAUAAGGCGGGCGAGAAACCCGCUCAACGAAAAAGACUGAGGUUUCCUGAGUCGCACUAAUCAGCUCAGGGAUUUGGCGAGCCAGGACCCAACGCAGAACCCGCGGAAAGGAGUAGUCGAUGGACAACAGGUUAAUAUUCCUGUACUUCCUAAUAUUGCGAUGGGGUGACGAAGUAGUGAAAGUCUCGCGUACUGACGGAAUAGUACGUUGAAGCACGUAGUUAUAAGGACCGUAGGCAAAUCCGCGGACCUUGAUGAAAUGCGAUAGUACCACAAGCCUUCGGGUGCGUGGAUAGUAGACCUAAUCAGACUUCCAAGAAAAACCUCUAAGCUUCAGAUAUUAGGAACCUGUACCGUAAACCGACACAGGUGGUCGAGGAGAGUAUCCUCAGGCGCUCGAGUGAUUCAUGGCUAAGGAACUAGGCAAAAUGGCCCCGUAACUUCGGGAUAAGGGGCGCUGACUUCGGUCAGCCGCAGUGAAUAGGCCCAGGCGACUGUUUAUCAAAAACACAGGACUCUGCUAAAUCGAAAGAUGAUGUAUAGGGUCUGACACCUGCCCGGUGCUGGAAGGUUAAUAGGAGGAGUUAUCUUCGGAGAAGCUCUGAAUUGAAGCCCCAGUAAACGGCGGCCGUAACUAUAACGGUCCUAAGGUAGCGAAAUUCCUUGUCGGGUAAGUUCCGACCUGCACGAAUGGUGCAACGAUCUGGGCACUGUCUCGGCCAUGAGCUCGGUGAAAUUGUAGUAACGGUGAAGAUGCCGUUUACCCGCAACGGGACGGAAAGACCCCGUGAACCUUCACUACAGCUUUGUAUUGACAUUGGAUAAAUAAUGUGUAGGAUAGGUGGGAGACUUCGAAGCUGCGUCGCCAGGCGUGGUGGAGUCAUCCUUGAAAUACCACCCUUUAUUUAUCUAGUGCCUAAUCCCGAAAGGGAGACAGUGCAUGGUGGGUAGUUUGACUGGGGUGGUCGCCUCCAAAAGAGUAACGGAGGCUUCUAAAGGUACCCUCAGCACGCUUGGUAACCGUGCGUAGAGUGCAAUGGCAUAAGGGUGCUUGACUGUGAGACCGACAAGUCGAGCAGGUACGAAAGUAGAGCAUAGUGAUCCGGUGGUUCCGCAUGGAAGGGCCAUCGCUCAAAGGAUAAAAGGUACUCCGGGGAUAACAGGCUGAUCUCCCCCAAGAGCUCACAUCGACGGGGGUUUUGGCACCUCGAUGUCGGCUCGUCACAUCCUGGGGCUGGAGAGAAGGUCCCAGCUGGGCUGUUCGCCCAUUAAAGUGGCACGCGAGCUGGGUUCAGAACGUCGCGAGACAGUUCGGUCCCUAUCUGUUGUGGGCGUUAGAAAUUUGAGAGGACCCGACUCUAGUACGAGAGGACCGGAGUUGGACAGACCUCUGGUGUACCAGUUGUGCCGCCAGGUGCAGCGCUGGGUAGCUAUGUCUGGAUGAGAUAAGCGCUGAAAGCAUAUAAGCGCGAAACUCACCUCAAGAUGAGAUUUCUUUUAAGGGUCGUUAUAGACGAUGACGUUGAUAGGAUGCAGGUGUAAAGUCAGCGAUGGCAAAGCCGAGCAUUACUAAUUACCCGUAGACUUUCUCAG
RNAcentral lists this ribosomal RNA (2905 nucleotides) under Cryomorphaceae bacterium. RNAcentral describes it as "Bacterial large subunit ribosomal RNA". It matches the Rfam family "Bacterial large subunit ribosomal RNA". The record is from Rfam by way of RNAcentral. Lineage: Bacteria; Pseudomonadati; Bacteroidota; Flavobacteriia; Flavobacteriales; Cryomorphaceae.